GAGCACACCCCUAAGUGCGUGGAGAGGCAAGCACAGGUGGUCAGCACACAGGGACAGUGACGGAGCUCCUGCCGCCUUCUCAGCACCAGGUGCUGUGCAGCAUGGAGACCCAGGUGACCUUAAAACACCCCAGGGCCGGCUCCAGCCCCAGAGAUGUCAGGGUGGUCUGAGUAGAGAGAGGGGUCAGCAGUGACCUGGUGGGCGGGUGUAUUUGAGGGGUGCCUGUGUUGAAAGCUCUGCAGUAGAUUCUAAGGCGCAGCCAGGGCUGAGACCCCCGGUUCUGAGCCCAAGGCCCCUUUCCUUCCCGCAGGAAUUCAUCUUGGCUCUUGCAGCCCCCAUGACCCUAUGACGCUGGGGGGCGGGUAGCAUGAUGCUCCCCAUUUUUCAGGAGGGAAGCUGAGGCUCAGAGACAUCAUGAGGAUGCCAGCUCAAGGCCCAGCCAGGCCUUGGUCCUCAGCUGCUGUCAUCCAGUAGGGCCUCGUCCUCUGCCGAAGUGGUCUCUUCCCCACGUGUCCCUGAGACUCCUCAGCCAUCCCAGAGGCUCUCGGCCAUCUGAGCACCCCCGACCGUGGAGCCUUCCUGACCCGCUCUCUGUGUGUGAGGCAGAGCCCAUCCCUGCCAGGACCCAGGACCCACACCAGAGGCUCCGGAAGGUUUGCUGACUGACCUGUGACUGCAAGAAACUGAAGGAAUGUGGGCGCAGGCCCGGCAGGGGCUUUGCUUGGUGCAAAGUCAACUGGCUGUCCAUGCAAGCCUGCUGCUGUGGCCAGCCCUCCUGCCAGGCACCUGGUACCCUCCCUGGACCCAGUUGCCAGGACAGUGAUCCCCAGCUGUGGCCAGGACUCUGCCCGGGGCCCUGUCUACUCAGUGUCUCCAGCGGUCCCCAUGCAGAAACUGUCCCUCUUGCUGCCCAUGAGGCAUGGGAUAGGGUCAGCAUCCGAGAGGCAGGCCCUGCUGUUCCCCUCUGCACAGAGGCCGGGGGAGUGAGUUGCCCGGGCAAGUCCCCGGGCAGGCACUGGGCCUUCUGAGUAGGUGAGCUGAGAAGGCCCCAGCUGGUGUAGGCCUCGAGGGCUGCAGGACUGGCCAUGGGGCAGACCUGGCAUUGUCAUUCUAGAGCUGGGCUGGGGGGGUGGCUGGUGCAGUGCAGAUCUCAGGUGGAGGCCACCUGCCAGUCCUUUCCAUGUGGCUCAGGGCUCAGACCCACCUGCCUGUCUCUGGAAGCCCCUAGACUGCUCAGAGCACAGACCUCAAUGGGAAAGACAGUAGAUAGGCCUGGGUAUGGUCUCCCAGCCCUGAGAAGUGGGGAGAACACUCAGACCUUUCCAGGACCCAGGUCCCCUCAGCAGCCCACAGAGCAUAGGUGGAGCUUGGGCUGGGGUUGGGUCACUUGGGGGCCAAAGGCUCAUUUCUGCUGCUUCCAGGGACUCCCAGGGAGACGGCAGAGGCAGUGCCUGGCUGGGGCCCUGGUGGGCACGCCAUUUGGGGGGUGCAUGCACUGGGAAGUUGGCCAGGCCUGCCCAAAUCAGGGGGCUUCCAGGAGGACAGACAUCAGGAGGGUGGGCACAGAGGCGGCUUAGCACCAGGGCUGGCACCUCCAGGCAGGGGCUGUUGGGGGCUGGACCAGACAGGGAGGCUGUCACGAUGCCUGGCUGUUGGAUGGGGGCACUGAGGCUCUGAGUGGGGUGGCAGAGCUUGGCCACCAGGUCCAUCUGCAACCCCCAUACCCCCUCACUACCCCCAGACCCCCAUGAUCCCAAACUACUCAGUCCCAGGGACCCCUGCAGAGCCUGCGGUGGGGGGGAACUUCCACCCUGUCUGGCCCCUGCCCACCUCACCUCAGAACUGUCUCCAAAAAGUAAGAGCCCCGGGGGACGAAACUUCGAGGCUCCACCCCUUGGGCUCUGGUACAAACCCCGAGCCUCCUCCGAGGGCUGAGUCACUGGGAAAGCCGGGAUGGGCUGGCCUCCCCCUCCCUCUCCUUCCUUCCUCCUUCCCCCUUUCUCGGUCUCGCUCUUUUUCUCUUUGCUUUACUUCUCUUUCUUCCCUCCCUCUCUCCCUCUCUUCUUUCCUUCCUUUCAUCUUCUUCCCUUCCUCCGUCUUUGCCUUUCUUCUUUUCUGGGGGUAAAAAUAGCUGGAAACCCCCCUUAAAAAAAGUUUAUUUUAAUCUUAGAGGGACGAUGUUGGUGUCCCAAAGCACAGUCCUUUGCCCCGGAGGAGCCACCAGCAGAGCCAGGAGCCCCCGAAGGACUUUGACCACACCCCCCACCCCACCCCGACCUGUGCGUGGUGCCCCGAGUGGAGCCCGGGCCAUCCUUGACCUCACCGCUGGGGUGAUGGAGAAGCUGCUGCCCGAGGCGAGAGUUUCUCAGGUGGCCGGGGUUUCCCCCCAUUUGCUCUAGACACAUUUAAACAAGCUGAGAACUUCCGUCCCCCCACACUCCCCCCGCGGACCCCCAUGGACCCCUCUGCAUAUGAACAUGGGCCUGGAAAUUGGGGUGUGGGUUACAGAGAGCAUGGGGAAUUCUGCUUGUGAAGUGACACGGAGCAUGAAUAUGAGCAGGUACCGCACAUCUGCGAGCUAUUUUCGGGUCUCCGGGGGAAGGCAAAAAGCCCUAACAAGCCUUAAGUAAGACCAGGACUCUUCUAUAUUUUUGCUUUGACAGCUAAGGAAAAAAAUCUGCCAAAAACCAGAGGCGCUGCUGAGUGUUGGCGUGGGAAUGUUAGUUUAGUCAGAGCCUUGCUCUGGGCCAUUUAAAUAAAAACAGGCAUGUUGGUGGCAAAUGCCAGUUGAACACGCGGGACAGCGGUGCUUCUGGGGCCCGGAGAAGGGUUUGCAGCUGCACUCGCUCUUCCCUUUUUUCUUGGCCUCCCCAGCCUUCUUAUCAUCACGAUCAGCAUUUCACUGGUAAACAUUUGAUGCAAUAAUUUUCAAAAAUCAGCAAGGAAAGUCUGAGCGUUUAAUGUGGCUGUGACUGCACGGCCCCAGCUGGAAGCGUGGAUUCCCAGUGCCUCCCAGAGCCUGUCUCCGAGGGAAGCGUGGAUUCCCAGUGCCUCCCAGAGCCUGUCUCCGAGGGAAGCGUGGAUUCCCAGUGCCUCCCAGAGCCUGUCUCCGAGGGAAGCGUGGAUUCCCAGUGCCUCCCAGAGCCUGUCUCCGAGGGAAGCGUGGAUUCCCAGUGCCUCCCAGAGCCUGUCUCCGAGGGAAGCGUGGAUUCCCAGUGCCUCCCAGAGCCUGUCUCCGAGGGAAGCGUGGAUUCCCAGUGCCUCCCAGAGCCUGUCUCCGAGGGAAGCGUGGAUUCCCAGUGCCUCCCAGAGCCUGUCUCCGAGGGAAGCGUGGAUUCCCAGUGCCUCCCAGAGCCUGUCUCCGAGGGAAGCGUGGAUUCCCAGUGCCUCCCAGAGCCUGUCUCCGAGGGAAGCGUGGAUUCCCAGUGCCUCCCAGAGCCUGUCUCCGAGGGAAGCGUGGAUUCCCAGUGCCUCCCAGAGCCUGUCUCCGAGGGAAGCGUGGAUUCCCAGUGCCUCCCAGAGCCUGUCUCCGAGGGAAGCGUGGAUUCCCAGUGCCUCCCAGAGCCUGUCUCCGAGGGAAGCGUGGAUUCCCAGUGCCUCCCAGAGCCUGUCUCCGAGGGAAGCGUGGAUUCCCAGUGCCUCCCAGAGCCUGUCUCCGAGGGAAGCGUGGAUUCCCAGUGCCUCCCAGAGCCUGUCUCCGAGGGAAGCGUGGAUUCCCAGUGCCUCCCAGAGUCUGUCUCCGAGGGAAGCGUGGAUUCCCAGUGCCUCCCAGAGCCUGUCUCCGAGGGAUACUCCAGUCACUUGAGGGCCUUUGCACAACAUGAAUCAGACCGACUAUCUCUAGAGUGGAGAGGGGGAUAAACCCACUUGCAGCAAGUGAAGGCCAGAGGCUGCCCUGGGAUGGCAUUGCCUGUUCCCAGGGGCUUGUGGUGGUGGAGCAGACAUGGGGACCCCGCAGCCCCCUCCCCUCCUUGCUGGGGAUGCCACACAGACCCACGUUCAGGGACUUGAAUUCAGAGCCUGCCCCAGGGGUGGCGAAUGUAUCUGGGACACUGAGUGCCCACCUACCGGGUGCGUCUCGUGGCCUUUCGGUCUUUUCUUUUGAGACGGAGUCUCACUUCGUCGCCCAGGCUGGAGUGUAAUGGCGUGCUCUCUGCUCACUACCAGCUCCGCCUCCCGGGUUCAAGCAAUUCUCCUGUCUCAGCCUCCGAGUAGCUGGGAUUACAGGUGUGCGACACCACGCCAGCUAAUUUUUGUAUUUUUAGUAGAGAUAGGGUUUCACCAUAUGGUCAGGCUGGUCUUGAACUCCUGACCUUGGGUGAUCUGCCCACCUUGGCCUCCCGAAGUGUUGGGAUUACAGGCGUGAGCCACCGCACCUGGCCAGCCUUUCGGUCUUGAAGGGUCUCUGGGAGGGCCUCAGAGAAUGCCUUGGUUUCCUCACUCUUGGAUUCCCAUCGACUGAGGUCAGGGCUGGGAAGGGGUGAUGAGCCCAGGACUCUUCUGGCGAGGGUGAGGGUCCGUGUUGGGGGGCUCCCUUCUGCCACCUCUCCUUGGUGACAUGGAGCUGGCUGGAGAGUCCCUCCAUGCCCGGGAGUCCCUCAGUGUGGGGGGGGGAAGGGGGCCACUGCAAUGAAUCUGACACCAGACCCCUCUCUCUCCACCCUGCUGGCAGCCCUCAUUCAUACGGGGGGUGGGGGGCGGGGUCUAUCCUCCUUUCCCCAAAGCUGGGGGUCCUGAGUGUGGUUGGAGUAACGUCUGGUCCUCCUUAGAACAGUGGGGCUUGGAAUUCAUUCAAGGGAAGAAGAGUGAAGGAACGCAGAUGCCAACUGCAUGGAGCCCCCCCCGGGCUGCAGCUCCUAGAGCCUGGGAGCUCUGUGAGCCAGAAAGAGAACAGCUGGGGAGAGGGCUGUGUGAGGCCCUGUUCUUCCAAGACCGCUGCGGAGGACCGACGGGGCCCAGAGACCCUGACUGAGGUGUGCUGAGCACAGCAGCUCUGGACAGGCCGCACCGGCCUCUCUGUCGUCUGUCUGUCAUCUGUCCAUCUGUUGGUGGGCAGGAACAGACCUGAUACUGUGAGAAGAGGCCCCCUGGGCUCUGCGUCUCCCAUUGGCUGAGCCUGGACUGCAGACCCAGCCGCCCUCACGCUGGGCACAGAUGACCAACUUAGGUUUUGAGAAGAUCCAAACAGCAGCAGGACGUGAGCCUGGUAGGGGUAUGAGGGCCUCCCCUGGACUCAAAAGUGUAUUCGCAGAGCCCCUUCCCUGCAGUGUAGGCUCUGGGGGACAGUGGCUGGGAUGGAGGCCCUCGUGGAAGGAGGGAGACGUGAACAGCGAGCCUCCUGCAUGCAGGCCUCUGGGGAAGAACAUUCCAGCCAAGUGGCUCUGAGCACACCCAACCCCGGCCAUCCUGGCCCUGUGGACCAACCCUGGGGCCCAGGAUUAAUGACAGCCAGUGCUCGCUGGUGCCUCCAGCCUGGGCCAGGCCUGUGGGCCCGUCCCUUCAAUGAUGGGGCAAGCCUAGCCCCAUCCACACCCUUCUCCUCCUCCUCUGUGCUUCCCUCCACCCCCAGGAGUGGGCUCCAGGUCUGUCACUCGUCACUCAUGGGGGGCUGUGGGUUGACUCGUGUUCCCCUAAAAGACAGCUGGAUACCCCCAGAGCUUGUGAGCAGGACUUGUUUUGGAGAUGGGUCUUUGCAGAUGUUGUCGAGUUAAGACAAGGCCACGCUGGAGUGGGGCCCGCCCUAAUCCAAUGACUGGGUCCCUUGGCAGGAGAGGGAGAUUUGGGGAGAAGGCCCUGGGAAGACAGGCAGAGGCUGGAGACAGUGCAGCCCCAAGCUGGGAGCACAGGGGUUGCUGGCACCCAGCAGAAGCUGGAGGAGGCUGGAAGGAUCCUCCCUAGAGCCUUGGGAGGGGGCCCGGUCCUGUGACACCCAGAUUUUGGAUUUCUGGCCUUCGGAACUGAGAGAGCACACAUUUCUACGGUUUGAAGCCACCAAAUUUAUGGUAAUUUGUUCUGGCCAGGAAAUUAAUACCAGGGAUAAAGGUGUUUUAAUGCA
Molecule: long non-coding RNA, 6055 nt
Organism: Pongo pygmaeus (Bornean orangutan)
Lineage: Eukaryota; Metazoa; Chordata; Mammalia; Primates; Hominidae
Exons: 2
Source: RefSeq, a predicted model, not a curated record